This 253-nucleotide ribosomal RNA is filed under the name uncultured bacterium. Its description in RNAcentral is "partial 16S ribosomal RNA". It matches the Rfam family "Bacterial small subunit ribosomal RNA", at positions 524 to 776 of the family's 1533-position model. The record is from RNAcentral.
UACGUAGGGUGCUAGCGUUGUCCGGAUUUAUUGGGCGUAAAGAGCUCGUAGGCGGCUUGUCGCGUCGAAUGUGAAAACUCGGGGCUCAACUCCGAGCUUGCAUUCGAUACGGGCAGGCUAGAGUUCGGUGGGGGAGACUGGAAUUCCUGGUGUAGCGGUGAAAUGCGCAGAUAUCAGGAGGAACACCGGUGGCGAAGGCGGGUCUCUGGGCCGAUACUGACGCUGAGGAGCGAAAGCGUGGGGAGCGAACAGG